Molecule: small RNA, 73 nt
Filed under: Microcebus murinus (gray mouse lemur)
Lineage: Eukaryota; Metazoa; Chordata; Mammalia; Primates; Cheirogaleidae
Description: Y RNA (ENSMICG00000045706.1)
Source: RNAcentral
AAGACAGUGGGUUAUCAGAACUUAUUAACAUUAGUGUCACUAAAGUUGGUAUUCAACCUCCCACUGCUAAAUU